This 440-nucleotide ribosomal RNA is filed under the name uncultured bacterium. RNAcentral describes it as "bacterial SSU rRNA". It matches the Rfam family "Bacterial small subunit ribosomal RNA", at positions 29 to 511 of the family's 1533-position model. The record is from RNAcentral.
AGCGAACGCUGGCGGCAGGCUUAACACAUGCAAGUCGAGCGCCCGUAGCAAUACGGGAGCGGCAGACGGGAGAGUAACACGUGGGAACAUGCCCUUCGGUUCGGAAUAACUCAGGGAAACUUGAGCUAAUACCGGAUACGUCCGUAAGGAGAAAGAUUUAUCGCCGAAGGAUUGGCCCGCGUCCGAUUAGCUUGUUGGUGAGGUAACGGCUCACCAAGGCGACGAUCGGUAGCNGGUCUGAGAGGAUGAUCAGCCUCACUGGGACUGAGACACGGCCCAGACUCCUACGGGAGGCAGCAGUGGGGAAUAUUGGACAAUGGGCGAAAGCCUGAUCCAGCCAUGCCGCGUGGGUGAUGAAGGCCUUAGGGUUGUAAAGCCCUCUCGGCGGGGAAGAUAAUGACGGUACCCGCAGAAGAACGCCCCGGCUAACUUCGUGCCAG